This 250-nucleotide ribosomal RNA is filed under the name uncultured bacterium. Its description in RNAcentral is "partial 16S ribosomal RNA". It matches the Rfam family "Bacterial small subunit ribosomal RNA", at positions 524 to 773 of the family's 1533-position model. The record is from RNAcentral.
UACGGAGGGUGCAAGCGUUAUCCGGAUUUAUUGGGUUUAAAGGGUCCGUAGGCGGAUCAUUAAGUCAGUGGUGAAAGCCGACAGCUCAACUGUCGAACUGCCAUUGAUACUGGUGAUCUUGAGUACGGUUGAAGUAGGCGGAAUAUGACAUGUAGCGGUGAAAUGCUUAGAUAUGUCAUAGAACACCGAUUGCGAAGGCAGCCUACUAAGCCGUUACUGACGCUGAGGGACGAAAGUGUGGGGAGCGAAC